AGGAGUCUCGCACCAUACUCUCUUCCUCUCCAUCUCAUUGUCUCUCUAACCCUAAUUGCAUUAACCCUAACCCGUUGUCAAUAGCUUCUUGCUCUUUUAAUAAUGGAACGAAGCCGCAAAAACCUACCCCUCUGUCAAAUAAAAGGAAGCCGCAGGAGCCCUACCCUUCUCUCAAAUGGAAUGAAGCUGCAUGAACCUACCCCUCUGGCAAUCACUUCAACAAUGGAGAAUUAGGUUUGCAAAUGGAGGGCAUUGCUAGUUAUCACUAGUUUUGAGAGAGAUGUGUGGACUACUGUCACUUCAAUAACAGAGGGUUACGUUUUGCAAAUGGAGAGCAUCUCUAGUUUUGAGAGAGGGGUGAACUACUGCCAUUUUAACAAUGGAGAGUUUAAGUUUUCAAAUGGAGGGCAUCUAUAAUUUUGAGAGAGAUGGGGUGGACCACCGCUCGAUGUUGCAGGUGGAAAUAGUGCCAGCGAACCUUCAAAGAUUUGCUUCAAUUUGGGUUGAGGUUCCUUUUUGUUCUGGGAAUAUUUGUGUUGUCAAUAUUUGCGUUCUGUCAAUAUUUGCUUGAAUUUGUGG
This 579-nucleotide long non-coding RNA is filed under the name Amborella trichopoda. RNAcentral's name for it is "long non-coding RNA (ATRI_LNC001751)". Lineage: Eukaryota; Viridiplantae; Streptophyta; Magnoliopsida; Amborellales; Amborellaceae. The record is from RNAcentral.